AGCGAACGCUGGCGGCAGGCUUAACACAUGCAAGUCGAGCGGGCAUCUUCGGAUGUCAGCGGCAGACGGGUGAGUAACACGUGGGAACGUACCCUUCGGUUCGGAACAACUCUGGGAAACUGGAGCUAAUACCGGAUACGCCCUUAUGGGGAAAGGUUUACUGCCGAAGGAUCGGCCCGCGUCUGAUUAGCUAGUUGGUGGGGUAACGGCCUACCAAGGCGACGAUCAGUAGCUGGUCUGAGAGGAUGAUCAGCCACACUGGGACUGAGACACGGCCCAGACUCCUACGGGAGGCAGCAGUGGGGAAUAUUGGACAAUGGGCGCAAGCCUGAUCCAGCCAUGCCGCGUGAGUGAUGAAGGCCUUAGGGUUGUAAAGCUCUUUUGUCCGGGACGAUAAUGACGGUACCGAAAGAAUAAGCCCCGGCUAACUUCGUG
Molecule: ribosomal RNA, 435 nt
Filed under: uncultured bacterium
Lineage: Bacteria
Description: partial 16S ribosomal RNA
Rfam family: Bacterial small subunit ribosomal RNA
Source: RNAcentral